GACGAACGCUGGCGGCGUGCUUAACACAUGCAAGUCGAACGGAAAGGCCCUGCUUUUGCUGGGUUCUCGAUUGGCGAACGGGUGAGAAACACGUGAGUAACCUGCCCUUGACUUUGGGAUAACUUUAGGAAACUGGGGCUAUUACCGGAUAUGAGCUCCUGCUGCAUGUUGGGGGUUGGAAAGUUUCGGCGGUUGGGGAUGGUCUCGCGGCUUAUCAGCUUGUUUGGGGGGUUGUGGCUUACCAAGGCUGUGACGGGUAGCCGGCCUGAGAGGGGUGCCGGGCACAAUGGGACUGAGGUACGGCCCAGACUCCUACGGGAGGCAGCAGUGGGGAAUAUUACAGAAUGGGCGCAAGCCUGAUGCAGCAACCCCGCGUGCGGAAUAACGGGCUUCGGGUUAUGAACCGCUUUGGCCGUUGACAAGGAGUGAGUGACGGUAAUGGGUAAAGAAGCACCGGCUAACUACGUG
Molecule: ribosomal RNA, 468 nt
Filed under: uncultured bacterium
Lineage: Bacteria
Description: partial 16S ribosomal RNA
Rfam family: Bacterial small subunit ribosomal RNA
Source: RNAcentral